UAGUAACUGCGAGUGAAGCGGGAAAAGCUCAAAUUUAAAAUCUGGUAGUCUUUGGCUGCCCGAGUUGUAGUCUGGAGAAGUGUCUUCCGCGCCGGACCGUGUACAAGUCUCUUGGAACAGAGCGUCAUAGAGGGUGAGAAUCCCGUCUUUGACACGGACUACCGGUGCUUUGUGAUGCGCUCUCAAAGAGUCGAGUUGUUUGGGAAUGCAGCUCAAAAUGGGUGGUAAAUUCCAUCUAAAGCUAAAUAUUGGCGAGAGACCGAUAGCGAACAAGUACCGUGAGGGAAAGAUGAAAAGCACUUUGGAAAGAGAGUUAAACAGUACGUGAAAUUGCUGAAAGGGAAACGCUUGAAGUCAGUCGCGUCGUCCAGAACUCAACCUGGCUUUAUUUGCUGGGUGCACUUUCUGGUAGACGGGCCAACAUCAGUUUUGACUGCUGGAAAAAAGCCUUUGGAAUGUGGCACCUUCGGGUGUGUUAUAGCCUUGGGUUGUAUACAGUGGUGGGGACUGAGGACCGCAGCACGCCUUUAUGGCCGGGGUUCGCCCACGUACGUGCUUAGGAUGUUGGCGUAAUGGCUUUAAGCGACCCGUCUUGAAACACGGACCAAGGAGUCUAACAUGCCUGCGAGUGUUUGGGUGGCAAACCCGAGCGCGCAACGAAAGUGAAAGUUGGGAUCCCUGUCGUGGGGAGCACCGACGCCCAUACCAGACCUUCUGUGACGGAUAUGCGGUUGAGCAUGUAUGUUGGGACCCGAAAGAUGGUGAACUAUGCCUGAAUAGGGUGAAGCCAGAGGAAACUCUGGUGGAAGCUCGUAGCGAUUCUGACGUGCAAAUCGAUCGUCAAAUUUGGGUAUAGGGGCGAAAGACUAAUCGAACCAUCUA
RNAcentral lists this ribosomal RNA (882 nucleotides) under Hydnophanerochaete odontoidea. Its description in RNAcentral is "eukaryotic LSU rRNA". It matches the Rfam family "Eukaryotic large subunit ribosomal RNA", at positions 81 to 946 of the family's 3401-position model. Lineage: Eukaryota; Fungi; Basidiomycota; Agaricomycetes; Polyporales; Meruliaceae. The record is from RNAcentral.